This 74-nucleotide transfer RNA is filed under the name Camelus ferus (Wild Bactrian camel). It matches the Rfam family "tRNA". From Rfam's summary of the family: Transfer RNA (tRNA) molecules are approximately 80 nucleotides in length. Their secondary structure includes four short double-helical elements and three loops (D, anti-codon, and T loops). Further hydrogen bonds mediate the characteristic L-shaped molecular structure. tRNAs have two regions of fundamental functional importance: the anti-codon, which is responsible for specific mRNA codon recognition, and the 3' end, to which the tRNAs corresponding amino acid is attached (by aminoacyl-tRNA synthetases). tRNAs cope with the degeneracy of the genetic code in two manners: having more than one tRNA (with a specific anti-codon) for a particular amino acid; and 'wobble' base-pairing, i.e. permitting non-standard base-pairing at the 3rd anti-codon position. The record is from Rfam by way of RNAcentral. Lineage: Eukaryota; Metazoa; Chordata; Mammalia; Artiodactyla; Camelidae.
GAGGGUACAGCUCAAGUGGUAGAGCGCGUGGCUUAGCAUGCACCAGGUCCUGGGUUCAAUCCCCGGUACCUCCU